This 253-nucleotide ribosomal RNA is filed under the name uncultured bacterium. RNAcentral describes it as "partial 16S ribosomal RNA". It matches the Rfam family "Bacterial small subunit ribosomal RNA", at positions 524 to 776 of the family's 1533-position model. The record is from RNAcentral.
UACAGAGGGUGCAAGCGUUGUUCGGAAUUACUGGGCGUAAAGCGCGUGUAGGCGGUGCGUUAAGUCUCGUGUGAAAGCCCCGGGCUCAACCCGGGAAGUGCGCGAGAUACUGGCGGACUGGAGUGACGGAGAGGAUGGCGGAAUUCCCGGUGUAGAGGUGAAAUUCGUAGAUAUCGGGAGGAACACCUGUGGCGAAGGCGGCCAUCUGGACGUUGACUGACGCUGAGACGCGAAAGCAUGGGGAGCAAACAGG